This 338-nucleotide ribosomal RNA is filed under the name uncultured soil bacterium. Its description in RNAcentral is "bacterial SSU rRNA". It matches the Rfam family "Bacterial small subunit ribosomal RNA", at positions 26 to 375 of the family's 1533-position model. The record is from RNAcentral.
AGAUUGAACGCUGGCGGCAUGCCUAACACAUGCAAGUCGAACGGGAGCAGCAAUGCUCUAGUGGCGGACGGGUGAGGAAUACGUAGGAAUUUGCCCUUAAGUGGGGGAUAACCCGGGGGAAACCCGGAUUAAUACCGCAUGACCUCGAAAGAGCAAAGUGGGGGAUCGCAAGACCUCACGUCUUUGGAGAAGCCUACGGUCGGAUUAGCUAGUUGGUGAGGUAAUGGCUCACCAAGGCGACGAUCCGUAACUGGUCUGAGAGGAUGAUCAGUCACGACCGGAACUGAGACACGGGUCCGACUCCGACGGGAGCAGGCAGUAGGGAUAUGGACAGUGGG